AUGAACGCUGGCGGCGUGCCUAAUCCAUGCAAGUCGAGCGAACAGAUGAGGAGCUUGCUCCUCUGACGUUAGCGGCGGACGGGUGAGUAACACGUGGAUAACCUACCUAUAAGACUGGGAUAACUUCGGGAAACCGGAGCUAAUACCGGAUAAUAUAUUGAACCGCAUGGUUCAAUAGUGAAAGACGGUUUUGCUGUCACUUAUAGAUGGAUCCGCGCCGCAUUAGCUAGUUGGUAAGGUAACGGCUUACCAAGGCAACGAUGCGUAGCCGACCUGAGAGGGUGAUCGGCCACACUGGAACUGAGACACGGUCCAGACUCCUACGGGAGGCAGCAGUAGGGAAUCUUCCGCAAUGGGCGAAAGCUUGACGGAGCAACGCCGCGUGAGUGAUGAAGGUCUUAGGAUCGUAAAACUCUGUUAUUAGGGAAGAACAAAUGUGUAAGUAACUAUGCACGUCUUGACGGUACCUAAUCAGAAAGCCACGGCUAACUACGUG
This 496-nucleotide ribosomal RNA is filed under the name uncultured bacterium. RNAcentral describes it as "partial 16S ribosomal RNA". It matches the Rfam family "Bacterial small subunit ribosomal RNA", at positions 29 to 507 of the family's 1533-position model. The record is from RNAcentral.